This 492-nucleotide ribosomal RNA is filed under the name Bacillus thuringiensis. RNAcentral's name for it is "bacterial SSU rRNA". It matches the Rfam family "Bacterial small subunit ribosomal RNA", at positions 43 to 516 of the family's 1533-position model. The record is from RNAcentral. Lineage: Bacteria; Bacillati; Bacillota; Bacilli; Caryophanales; Bacillaceae.
CGUGCCUAAUACAUGCAAGUCGAGCGAAUGGAUUGAGAGCUUGUCUCAAGAAGUUAGCGGCGGACGGGUGAGUAACACGUGGGUAACCUGCCCAUAAGACUGGGAUAACUCCGGGAAACCGGGGCUAAUACCGGAUAACAUUUUGAACUGCAUGGUUCGAAAUUGAAAGGCGGCUUCGGCUGUCACUUAUGGAUGGACCCGCGUCGCAUUAGCUAGUUGGUGAGGUAACGGCUCACCAAGGCAACGAUGCGUAGCCGACCUGAGAGGGUGAUCGGCCACACUGGGACUGAGACACGGCCCAGACUCCUACGGGAGGCAGCAGUAGGGAAUCUUCCGCAAUGGACGAAAGUCUGACGGAGCAACGCCGCGUGAGUGAUGAAGGCUUUCGGGUCGUAAAACUCUGUUGUUAGGGAAGAACAAGUGCUAGUUGAAUAAGCUGGCACCUUGACGGUACCUAACCAGAAAGCCACGGCUAACUACGUGCCAGCAGCC